Molecule: small nucleolar RNA, 83 nt
Organism: Engraulis encrasicolus (European anchovy)
Lineage: Eukaryota; Metazoa; Chordata; Actinopteri; Clupeiformes; Engraulidae
Product: small nucleolar RNA SNORD53/SNORD92
Exons: 1
Source: RefSeq, a predicted model, not a curated record
CGAACAUGAUGAUGCCUGAGAAUGGUUUCGCUUAUUGGACUGAUGUUUCUGUGAUGCCACGAUUCUCUUGGCUAUCUGAUUCG